Molecule: ribosomal RNA, 222 nt
Filed under: Triticum aestivum (bread wheat)
Lineage: Eukaryota; Viridiplantae; Streptophyta; Magnoliopsida; Poales; Poaceae
Description: partial small subunit ribosomal RNA
Source: RNAcentral
AUGAAUUGUUUAAGUUGGAACUGUCGAGGGGCGGGGAACCUUCGCACAGUUCGUGAUUUGGUAGCACUUGUGGGUGCUCAUUCCCCGAAAUUCGUUUUCUUGUGUGAAACUAGGCAACCAAAAGAAAAGAUGUAUCGUCUUCGUUCUCGGUUACGUUUACAGGGUUUUGAAGGAGUUAGUAGUGAGGGUCGCAGUGGAGGUCUUGCAUUAUUCUGGCAUGAA